Molecule: ribosomal RNA, 253 nt
Filed under: uncultured bacterium
Lineage: Bacteria
Description: partial 16S ribosomal RNA
Rfam family: Bacterial small subunit ribosomal RNA
Source: RNAcentral
UACGGAGGGUGCAAACGUUAAUCGGAAUUACUGGGCGUAAAGCGCACGUAGGCGGUCCGUUAAGUGGGGUGUGAAAGCCCUGGGCUCAACCUGGGAAUUGCAUUCCAAACUGACGGGCUAGAGUGUGGUAGAGGGGGGUAGAAUUCCCUGUGUAGCGGUGAAAUGCGUAGAUAUAGGGAGGAAUACCUGUGGCGAAGGCGGCCCCCUGGACCAACACUGACGCUGAGGUGCGACAGCGUGGGGAGCAAACAGG